GGCCUUGUAGUUCAACGGAUAGAAUAGAAGUUUCCUAAACUUUAGAUAGGGGUUCGAUUCCCCUCGAGGCUACCA
RNAcentral lists this transfer RNA (75 nucleotides) under Bacteroides eggerthii. RNAcentral describes it as "tRNA-Arg". It matches the Rfam family "tRNA". From Rfam's summary of the family: Transfer RNA (tRNA) molecules are approximately 80 nucleotides in length. Their secondary structure includes four short double-helical elements and three loops (D, anti-codon, and T loops). The record is from RNAcentral. Lineage: Bacteria; Pseudomonadati; Bacteroidota; Bacteroidia; Bacteroidales; Bacteroidaceae. RNAcentral also lists the same sequence under 5 other names.